UGUUUGAUGUUCUAACGUGGACCCGUAAUCCGGGUUGCGGACAGUGUCUGGUGGGUAGUUUGACUGGGGCGGUCUCCUCCUAAAGAGUAACGGAGGAGCACGAAGGUUGGCUAAUCCUGGUCGGACAUCAGGAGGUUAGUGCAAUGGCAUAAGCCAGCUUGACUGCGAGCGUGACGGCGCGAGCAGGUGCGAAAGCAGGUCAUAGUGAUCCGGUGGUUCUGAAUGGAAGGGCCAUCGCUCAACGGAUAAAAGGUACUCCGGGGAUAACAGGCUGAUACCGCCCAAGAGUUCAUAUCGACGGCGGUGUUUGGCACCUCGAUGUCGGCUCAUCACAUCCUGGGGCUGAAGUAGGUCCCAAGGGUAUGGCUGUUCGCCAUUUAAAGUGGUACGCGAGCUGGGUUUAGAACGUCGUGAGACAGUUCGGUCCCUAUCUGCCGUGGGCGCUGGAGAACUGAGGGGGGCUGCUCCUAGUACGAGAGGACCGGAGUGGACGCAUCACUGGUGUUCGGGUUGUCAUGCCAAUGGCACUGCCCGGUAGCUAAAUGCGGAAGAGAUAAGUGCUGAAAGCAUCUAAGCACGAAACUUGCCCCGAGAUGAGUUCUCCCUGAGACUUAGAGUCUCCUGAAGGAACGUUGAAGACGACGACGUUGAUAGGCCGGGUGUGUAAGCGCAGCGAUGCGUUGAGCUAACCGGUACUAAUGAACCGUGAGGCUUAACCUUAC
Molecule: ribosomal RNA, 722 nt
Filed under: Salmonella enterica
Lineage: Bacteria; Pseudomonadati; Pseudomonadota; Gammaproteobacteria; Enterobacterales; Enterobacteriaceae
Also listed under: 1 other name
Description: partial 23S ribosomal RNA
Rfam family: Bacterial large subunit ribosomal RNA
Source: RNAcentral